AUCUUCCACAAUGGACGAAAGUCUGAUGGAGCAACGCCGCGUGAGUGAAGAAGGUNUUNNGAUCGNANAGCUCUGUUGUGAGGNNNNNAUAAGUACAGGNGUCACUGUCUGUACCUUGACGGUACCUCACCAGAAAGCCACGGCUAACUACGUGCCAGCAGCCGCAGGAAUACGUAGGGCGCCAGGGUUGUCCGGAAUUUUUGGGCAUAAAGCGCGGGAAGGAGGUCCUUUAAGUUUGAUGUGAAAGCCCACGGCUCAACCGUGGAGGGUCAUUGGAAACUGGAGGACUUGAGUACAGAAGAGGAAAGCGGAAUUCCACGUGUAGCGGUGAAAUGCGUAGAGAUGUGGAGGAACACCAGUGGCGAAGGCGGCUUUCUGGUCUGUAACUGACGCUGAGGCGCGAAAGCGUGGGGAGCAAACA
RNAcentral lists this ribosomal RNA (421 nucleotides) under uncultured bacterium. RNAcentral's name for it is "partial 16S ribosomal RNA". It matches the Rfam family "Bacterial small subunit ribosomal RNA", at positions 361 to 774 of the family's 1533-position model. The record is from RNAcentral.